RNAcentral lists this small RNA (748 nucleotides) under Pan troglodytes (chimpanzee). Its description in RNAcentral is "retained intron". The record is from RNAcentral. Lineage: Eukaryota; Metazoa; Chordata; Mammalia; Primates; Hominidae.
AGUUCGGGGCUGCGCAGCGGGAAGGCUCGCCUAGUCGGUCCGCAUCCGUGUCGACCACCUGUCUGGACACCACGAAGAUGCCACCUGUUGGGGGCAAAAAGGCCAAGAAGGGCAUCCUAGAACGUUUAAAUGCUGGAGAGAUUGUGAUUGGAGAUGGAGGGUUUGUCUUUGCACUGGAGAAGAGGGGCUACGUAAAGGCAGGACCCUGGACUCCUGAAGCUGCUGUGGAGCACCCAGAAGCAGGUUGGUACAGAGCUCUAUUGUAAGUUCUCAUAAAGGAGCCGGGUGUGGAGGCUCAUGCCUGUAAUCCCAGCAACUCAGGAGGCUGAGGUGGGAAGACCACUUGAGCCCAGGAGUUCAAGACCAGCCUGGACACAUAGGGAGACCUAGUCUCUCAGAAGUUUUUAAAAAAUUAGCUGGACAUGGUGGUGCACGCCUGUAGUCCCAGCUACUUGGGAGGCUGAGGCAGGAGGAUCACUUGAGCUAUUUUAUGCAAAUGAUUUUGUGUAUCUGCAGCGCUUUUGUAAUUUAGACUGAGUGGUAGCUAGAAUUGAUGGAAACCCCUGAAGAGUCUUCCUGCAAGCUGGACUUCACCUGCAACAUUUUUAUAUAUCUCAUGCCUGGGCCUGACUUUUUCAUGUUCUGGGCAAAAAGAAAGGAGUGGUUAUGCUACAGGCCCACAAUCCCCUGUCCAAACCACAUUUUGGGGUCAAACAUAUCUUGGAAUCCAGGAAUCUGGGGAUGUUAG